GACGAACGCUGGCGGCGUGCUUAACACAUGCAAGUCGAACGGUGAAGCAGGAGCUUGCUCUUGUGGAUCAGUGGCGAACGGGUGAGUAACACGCGAGCAACCUGCCCCUGACUCUGGGAUAAGCGCUGGAAACGGCGUCUAAUACUGGAUAUGUGAUGUGACCGCAUGGUCUGCAUCUGGAAAGAAUUUCGGUUGGGGAUGGGCUCGCGGCCUAUCAGCUUGUUGGUGAGGUAAUGGCUAACCAAGGCGUCGACGGGUAGCCGGCCUGAGAGGGUGGCCGGGCACACUGGGACUGAGACACGGCCCAGACUCCUACGGGAGGCAGCAGGGGGGAAUAUUGCACGAUGGGCGGAAGCCUGAUGCAGCAACGCCGCGUGAGGGAUGACGGCCUUCGGGUUGUAAACCUCUUUUAGCAGGGAAGAAGCGAAAGUGACGGUACCUGCAGAAAAAGCACCGGCUAACUACGUGCCAGCCGCCGCCGUAA
Molecule: ribosomal RNA, 484 nt
Filed under: uncultured bacterium
Lineage: Bacteria
Description: partial 16S ribosomal RNA
Rfam family: Bacterial small subunit ribosomal RNA
Source: RNAcentral